UACGUAGGGGGCAAGCGUUAUCCGGAUUUACUGGGUGUAAAGGGAGCGUAGACGGUUAUGCAAGUCAGAAGUGAAAGCCCAAAGCUCAACUUCGGGACUGCUUUUGAAACUGUGUAACUAGAGUGCAGGAGGGGUAAGCGGAAUUCCUAGUGUAGCGGUGAAAUGCGUAGAUAUAUGGAAGAACACCAGUGGCGAAAGCGGCUCUCUGGUCUGUAACUGACGCUGAGGUUCGAAAGCGUGGGUAGCAAACAGG
This 253-nucleotide ribosomal RNA is filed under the name uncultured bacterium. Its description in RNAcentral is "partial 16S ribosomal RNA". It matches the Rfam family "Bacterial small subunit ribosomal RNA", at positions 524 to 776 of the family's 1533-position model. The record is from RNAcentral.